RNAcentral lists this transfer RNA (73 nucleotides) under Candidatus Pacearchaeota archaeon. Its description in RNAcentral is "tRNA-Gln". It matches the Rfam family "tRNA". From Rfam's summary of the family: Transfer RNA (tRNA) molecules are approximately 80 nucleotides in length. The record is from RNAcentral. Lineage: Archaea; Nanobdellati.
AGCCCCAUAGUAUAGCAGUCAAGUAUGCGGCCCUUUGGAGGCCGAGACCCAGGUGCGAAUCCUGGUGGGGCUA